CAAGUCGCACGAGAAAGGGUAGCAAUACCUGAGUAAAGUGGCGCACGGGUGAGUAACACGUGAAUUAUCUACCUCCGAGUGGGGAAUAACUGAGAGAAAUCUUAGCUAAUACCGCAUAACACUUACGAGUCAAAGCAGCAAUGCGCUUGGAGAGGAGUUCGCGGCCGAUUAGUUAGUUGGCGGGGUAACGGCCCACCAAGCCUGCGAUCAGUAACUGGUGUGAGAGCACGACCAGUCACACGGGCACUGAGACACGGGCCCGACUCCUACGGGGGGCAGCAGUAAGGAAUAUUGGUCAAUGGACGCAAGUCUGAACCAGCUAUGCCGCGUGAAGGAUGAAGGCCCUCUGGGUUGUAAACUUCUUUUAUCUGGGACGAAAAAAGCUCUUUCUAGAGCACUUGACGGUACCAGAGGAAUAAGCACCGGCUAACUCCGUGCCAGCAGCCGCGGUAAUACGGAGGGUGCAAGCGUUAUCCGGAUUUACUGGGUUUAAAGGGUGCGUAGGUGGGUCUGUAAGUCAGUGGUGAAAUCUCCGAGCUUAACUCGGAAACUGCCAUUGAUACUAUAGGUCUUGAAUUAUCUGGAGGUAAGCGGAAUAUGUCAUGUAGCGGUGAAAUGCUUAGA
RNAcentral lists this ribosomal RNA (624 nucleotides) under uncultured bacterium. RNAcentral describes it as "bacterial SSU rRNA". It matches the Rfam family "Bacterial small subunit ribosomal RNA", at positions 58 to 694 of the family's 1533-position model. The record is from RNAcentral.